UACGUAGGGUGCAAGCGUUAAUCGGAAUUACUGGGCGUAAAGCGUGCGCAGGCGGUUGUGCAAGACAGAUGUGAAAUCCCCGGGCUUAACCUGGGAACUGCAUUUGUGACUGCAUAGCUGGAGUGCGGCAGAGGGGGAUGGAAUUCCGCGUGUAGCAGUGAAAUGCGUAGAUAUGCGGAGGAACACCGAUGGCGAAGGCAAUCCCCCUGGGA
Molecule: ribosomal RNA, 212 nt
Filed under: uncultured bacterium
Lineage: Bacteria
Description: partial 16S ribosomal RNA
Rfam family: Bacterial small subunit ribosomal RNA
Source: RNAcentral